This 500-nucleotide ribosomal RNA is filed under the name uncultured bacterium. Its description in RNAcentral is "partial 16S ribosomal RNA". It matches the Rfam family "Bacterial small subunit ribosomal RNA", at positions 30 to 523 of the family's 1533-position model. The record is from RNAcentral.
AUUGAACGCUGGCGGAAUGCUUUACACAUGCAAGUCGAACGGCAGCACGGACUUCGGUCUGGUGGCGAGUGGCGAACGGGUGAGUAAUACAUCGGAACGUGCCCAGUCGUGGGGGAUAACGUAGCGAAAGCUACGCUAAUACCGCAUACGAUCUAAGGAUGAAAGCGGGGGAUCGCAAGACCUCGCGCGAUUGGAGCGGCCGAUGGCAGAUUAGGUAGUUGGUGGGGUAAAGGCUCACCAAGCCGACGAUCUGUAGCUGGUCUGAGAGGACGACCAGCCACACUGGGACUGAGACACGGCCCAGACUCCUACGGGAGGCAGCAGUGGGGAAUUUUGGACAAUGGGCGCAAGCCUGAUCCAGCCAUUCCGCGUGCAGGAUGAAGGCCCUCGGGUUGUAAACUGCUUUUGUACGGAACGAAAAGGCUCUGGUUAAUACCUGGGGCUCAUGACGGUACCGUAAGAAUAAGCACCGGCUAACUACGUGCCAGCCGCCGCGGUAA